AGUGAACGCUGGCGGUAGGCCUAACACAUGCAAGUCGAACGGCAGCACAGUAAGAGCUUGCUCUUACGGGUGGCGAGUGGCGGACGGGUGAGGAAUACAUCGGAAUCUACUUUUUCGUUGGGGAUAACGUAGGGAAACUUACGCUAAUACCGCAUACGACCUACGGGUGAAAGCAGGGGAUCUUCGGACCUUGCGCGAUUGAAUGAGCCGAUGUCGGAUUAGCUAGUUGGCGGGGUAAAGGCCCACCAAGGCGACGAUCCGUAGCUGGUCUGAGAGGAUGAUCAGCCACACUGGAACUGAGACACGGUCCAGACUCCUACGGGAGGCAGCAGUGGGGAAUAUUGGACAAUGGGCGCAAGCCUGAUCCAGCCAUACCGCGUGGGUGAAGAAGGCCUUCGGGCUGUAAAGCCCUUUUGUUGGGAAAGAAAAGCAGCAGGUUAAUACCCCGCUGUUCUGACGGUACCCAAAGAAUAAGCACCGGCUAACUUCGUG
RNAcentral lists this ribosomal RNA (492 nucleotides) under uncultured bacterium. RNAcentral describes it as "partial 16S ribosomal RNA". It matches the Rfam family "Bacterial small subunit ribosomal RNA", at positions 29 to 507 of the family's 1533-position model. The record is from RNAcentral.